CGCUGGCGGCGUGCUUAACACAUGCACGUCGAACGGCAAGGCCCUGCUUUUGUGGGGUGCUCGAGUGGCGAACGGGUGAGUAACACGUGAGUAACCUGCCCUUGACUUUGGGAUAACUUCAGGAAACUGGGGCUAAUACCGGAUAGGAGCUCCUGCUGCAUGGUGGGGGUUGGAAAGUUUCGGCGGUUGGGGAUGGACUCGCGGCUUAUCAGCUUGUUGGUGGGGUAGUGGCUUACCAAGGCUUUGACGGGUAGCCGGCCUGAGAGGGUGACCGGCCACAUUGGGACUGAGAUACGGCCCAGACUCCUACGGGAGGCAGCAGUGGGGAAUAUUGCACAAUGGGCGGAAGCCUGAUGCAGCAACGCCGCGUGCGGGAUGACGGCCUUCGGGUUGUAAACCGAUUUAGACUGUGACGAAGCGUGAGUGACGGUAAUGGGUAAAGAAGCACCGGCUAACUACGUG
This 462-nucleotide ribosomal RNA is filed under the name uncultured bacterium. RNAcentral's name for it is "partial 16S ribosomal RNA". It matches the Rfam family "Bacterial small subunit ribosomal RNA", at positions 34 to 507 of the family's 1533-position model. The record is from RNAcentral.